UACAGAGACUGCAAGCGUUAUUCGGAUUCACUGGGCGUAAAGGGCGCGUAGGCGGCUUACCAAGUCAGGCGUGAAAUUCCCGGGCUCAACCUGGGGGCUGCGCUUGAUACUGGUGAGCUUGAAUGCGGGAGAGGAUAGUGGAAUUCCCAGUGUAGAGGUGAAAUUCGUAGAUAUUGGGAAGAACACCGGUGGCGAAGGCGGCUAUCUGGCCCGUAAUUGACGCUGAGGCGCGAAAGCGUGGGGAGCAAACAGG
This 253-nucleotide ribosomal RNA is filed under the name uncultured bacterium. Its description in RNAcentral is "partial 16S ribosomal RNA". It matches the Rfam family "Bacterial small subunit ribosomal RNA", at positions 524 to 776 of the family's 1533-position model. The record is from RNAcentral.